Bos indicus x Bos taurus (hybrid cattle) is the source of this 511-nucleotide long non-coding RNA. The record is from Ensembl. NCBI's taxonomy places the organism in Eukaryota, Metazoa, Chordata, Mammalia, Artiodactyla, Bovidae.
CCUGAAAGCUAGACUGUGUGAACCUAUCAGCCUUUUCCACAGCCUUUCCCACACUUACUGGUGCCACAAGGUGUGCAACCUGAGGCUCAGGCAUGCUAUCAAUGCCUAACUGAUGCUGUAGGAAUUAACACCCACUCUUCUGGAAAUGCUAGAACAGGUGCUUUUGGUGCUCAAGUCACAUCCUUGGAUUCGCCUUGAACUCCGGUGCAGUCAUGUGGACAGAUACUCUGCAUAAUUGGUGAUUUCUGAUUGCCUGGCUGAAAUUUUUCUCGACGCUGGUUGUAAUCAUUGCCUGAUGGGAACAUUUCAUUCUUCAGCAUGUGUAGUCAUAAUUGUUUUAGAUUUCUAUGUGAAGUUAAUCAACCCUGAAGGAGACCCCCUGGAUGUCACCAUAGAGAGAGAAAAAUGCAACAGCCUAAAACCUGCUAGACUAUGAAGGAUACACUGGAGGUUAUGAUGCUUAUUCUGCCAAGGUGAGUCCAUCACCCACUGCAAUAGAAGAUAAGGCAAA